This is an RNA transcript of Populus nigra (black poplar), 1814 nucleotides long. It is a transcript of the gene named UDP-glycosyltransferase 91A1-like, with no coding region annotated. The record is from RefSeq and is a predicted model, not a curated record. The transcript has a single exon. NCBI's taxonomy places the organism in Eukaryota, Viridiplantae, Streptophyta, Magnoliopsida, Malpighiales, Salicaceae.
UAUCCCACCGCUGAAGGUGGGUUACUGAUUACCAGAAAUAGAGAUCUGAAUUUGUUCUCUCUCCCCGAGGCUUGGUGCUAGAAUAUAAACAUCCCCAAGCACUGGCAGUGCUUUUUCAUGAAGCCAUCCAUGCCGAUCAAGCCAUAGUCAACUUCACUUCCCAAUUUAGAUUGCCUUGGUGUUCCACAAUCAAAGCAUCAAACAUUCAUCCCUGUAAGGCCAUAUAUAACCAACUUCUUUUAUUUUCUCUAGUUUGCUUUUAGUACUUGGCAGUUUCAGUUCUAAUGGCAGAUAGUGAUGAUAAGAUUCAUGUGGCCAUGUUCCCAUGGCUAGCCUUUGGUCAUAUGAUGCCAUGGCUAGAACUUGCCAAACUAUUUGCUGCAAAGGGUCACAAAAUCUCCUUCAUAUCCACCCCUAGAAACAUCGAUCGCCUCCCAAAACCACCUGCAGAUGUAUCGUCUACUCUGCACUUUGUAAAGCUGCCGUUGCCGCAAGUAGAGGGUCUACCUCCAGAUGCUGAGGCCACAAUUGACUUGCCAGCUAACAAGGUACAAUAUCUCAAGAUAGCCCUUGACAAGGUCCAAGAACCCUUUGCCAAGGUUCUUGAGUCAUUGAAUCCAGAUUGGAUCUUCUACGAUUUUGCUCAAUACUGGAUCGGGCCAAUUGCGGCUCAGCUGGGCAUCAAAAGUACAUGCUUCUCUAUAUGCAUUGCAGCGAUGGUGGCCUUUCUUGGUCCGCCAUCGCCCUUGAUCGACGGUGAUGAUUAUCGCAAAAAACCCGAAGAUUUCACGAUCCCACCAAAGUGGGUAUCGUUUCAGACAACAGUCGCUUAUAAGUACGUACUAUGACAUCGUGAACACAUUUGACUGUGUUGAGGAUGAUGCUUCAGGUGUCAACGACUUGAAGCGUUGGGGCUUGUGUCUACAAUCAUGUGAUUUUAUUGCAGUUCGGUCCUCCUUCGAGAUCGAACCAGAAUGGCUCCAAGUUCUCGAAACUAUCCACGAGAAACCCGUUUUCCCGGUUGGUCAGCUGCCUCCUGUAGAGUACGAAUUAGAAGAGAAAAAUUCAGACGCUUGGAGUUCAAUGAAGAAGUGGCUUGACAUGCAAGAGAAGAGCUCGGUAGUGUAUGUAGCUUUCGGUAGCGAGGCAAAACCAAGUCAAGCCCAGCUAACCGAGUUAGCACUCGGGCUAGAGCUGUCUGGUUUACCAUUCUUCUGGGUUCUCAGGACUCGGCGUGGGAUUGCGGAUACUGACUUGAUUGAGUUACCACCUGGGUUUGAGGAGCGAACCAAAGGACAAGGAGUGGUUUGCACAACUUGGGCUCCUCAACUCAUGAUCUUGGCUCAUGAAUCGAUUGCUGGGUUCUUGACUCACUCUGGGUGGAGCUCUGUGGUGGAGGCACUUACGUUUCAGAAGGCGCUCGUACUUCUAACAUUCUAUUCAGAUCAAGGGAUAAAUGCUAGGGUAUUGGAGGAGAAGAAGAUUGGGUACUCCAUACCAAGAAACGAGUUGGAUGGGUCUUUUACUAGAGACUCAGUGGCUGAGUCAUUGAGACUGGUGAUGGUGAGUGAGGAAGGGAAGAUGUAUAGAGACAAGGCUAAGGAGAUGAGUAGUUUGUUUGGUGAUAGGGAUAGGCAGGACAGGUACGUGGACAACAUUUUGAUUUACCUCAAAAGUCACAGACCUGUCAAGAAAGCCAAGUGAUUUGUCUUCUAAUUUUCUUUCGCAAAUUAAACAGUCAGUGCUAGCCGAUAGCUCGCCCACAUCAACAGUGAAAUAAGAUUGUUAGCCUUGCGAUUUGUCUUUAGGUUUCA